GGCGAACGUUGGCGGCGUGGAUUAGGCAUGCAAGUCGAGCGAGAACCGUAGCAAUACGGGGACAGCGGCGAAAGGGACAGUAAUGUGUAGGUACCUACCCCGAGGUCUGGGAUAGCUGCGGGAAACUGCAGGUAAUACCGGAUAAUGUCUUCGGACCAAAGGUGUGAUUCCACCUUGGGAGGGGCCUGCAUCCUAUUAGCUAGUUGGCGGGGUAAUGGCCCACCAAGGCAACGAUGGGUAGCGGGUGUGAGAGCACGACCCGCGUCAUUGGGACUGAGAUACUGCCCAGACACCGACGGGUGGCUGCGGUCGAGGAUCUUCGGCAAUGGGCGAAAGCCUGACCGAGCGACGCCGCGUGCGGGAUGAAGGCCUUCGGGUUGUAAACCGCUGUCGUAGAGGAGGAAAUGCAGGGGGGUUCUCCCUUCUGUUUGACCUAUUCUAGGAGGAAGGACGGGCUAAGUUCGUGCCAGCCGCCGCGGUAA
RNAcentral lists this ribosomal RNA (482 nucleotides) under uncultured bacterium. RNAcentral's name for it is "partial 16S ribosomal RNA". It matches the Rfam family "Bacterial small subunit ribosomal RNA", at positions 28 to 523 of the family's 1533-position model. The record is from RNAcentral.